RNAcentral lists this long non-coding RNA (1059 nucleotides) under Canis lupus familiaris (dog). RNAcentral's name for it is "lncRNA (ENSCAFG00040022719.1)". Lineage: Eukaryota; Metazoa; Chordata; Mammalia; Carnivora; Canidae. The record is from RNAcentral.
AUGAUCAUGGACCUGAAGUUGGGGACGUUGGGGCCAGAGAGGUGGGUGAAAGGUGGCCCGAGUCUUGUGCAAGGGCCCAGCCACCUGUUAACAGAUAGAGAGGCCAAGGGGCCUAGAUCUGAGCCUGCCGCCUCGGGAGGGGGCGGGGCCUCGGGUACGUGGGGGCGGGGCCUCACUGGCGGGGGCGGGGCCGGGGCGGGCCCUCGCUGGGUGGGGCGUGGCUGCAGCCAGGCGGGGCGGAGCCGGGGCCGACUCGGUUCGGAAAUUUUCGCUGUGGGCGGGUCGGACCCGCCAGGGAGCGGCCGGCGGCGGCCAGGCGAGGCGCCCCGUGAUUGGCGGAGGCGCGCGGCGAUUGGCAGGCGCGCCGGCCAUUCCGCGGGCCGAGCCGGCGCCGCGUCUUCCGAGCCGCGUCGGGAGUGGAGGUCGGCCCGAGGCCCCGCCCCGCGCUGGCCCCGCCCCCGCGCUGGCCCCGCCCCCGCGCUGGCCCCGCCCCCGACCCGCCCCGUGGGGGCCGCGCUCGCAGGCGCUCCCCGCCGCUCCGCUCGCGUCGCCGGCUCCGCAGGCCCGUCCGCUCCACCCCGGGGCGUCCGGCUCUCGCGAGCAGCGCCGCGGCAGGCCCGGAGCCCGAGGGCGUCGCGCGGCCCACUCGCGGCCGGUGAGUACCCCGCGGCGGGCGGCGGGCGCUGGGAGGACAGCUGGGAGGCGCCGCCCGCCGCGGGCCUCAGUUUCUCCACCUGCGCAGCGGCCCCAGCGGGUCCCCGGGAGGCGGGGGCGGGGCCUGCCGGGGGAGGGGGCGCCCUCGGGCCUCGUGGGGCCCCGCGGCUCCGAGCACCGGGAGGCGGCGGGGCGGGGGUGGGGGGACCCAGGGCGCCCCGGGGGGUGGGGGGGCGGGGGAGAGGGCGAGGGAGGGGGAGGGGGUCCCGCCCGCACAGCCCGGCGGGGGUCAGGGGGUCAGCGCGGCGCGUCCCGUCCCCGGGGCCCCUCCCGCUGCGGGGCGAGCAGGGGCAGCGCAGGGGCGGCGAGGCCCGGCCUCCCUCCUCCACGUUGGUCCUGUCGUGA